AUUUAAUAAUUUAUAAUUUUUUUAAGAUUAAAAAUUUUAUAUAAUAAAAAUUUAGAAAUUAUUUGAGUUUUAGUAUUAAAUAAAAAUAAAUUUUAAUUUAAAAUUUAACUGUAAAGGAAGAUUUAAAAUUUAAAAAAGAUUAUUUAAUUUAUAGUACCUUUUGUAUCAGGGAUUAUUAAAAUUUAAAAUAAAAAUUUAUUAAUCUCGAAUUAGAAAGAGUUAAUUUUAAUAUAAUAGUUAAUGUGAAAUAAUUAUUAUAAAUAUAGAAUUAGGAAUGAAAUGUUAGUCGAUUUUUAAGAUAUCUAGUUUUUUAAUAUAAAAAUUUAAUUUUUUUAUAAUUUAUAUUCUUAAUUAGUAAAUAAUUAGUAAUUUAGUUAUGAGAUAAAAUUUAUGGGAUAAACUAUAAGUUUAAAUUAAAUAUUUUAAAAAAAAUUUUUAAAAUUUAAAGAUUAAAAUUUUUAUAAUUAAAAAGUUUUUAAUAAUUUAUUUAUUAAACUUUAAAUAAAAUUUUAAAAAAUAUUAAUUUAAUAUUAAAAUAAAUUUAUAAAUUAAAAAAAAAUUAUAAUAAUGAUGAUAUUAGUAUAAAAUAAUUUAAUGUAAAAUUAUAGAUUAAAUUUUAAAAAUUAAGUAAAGGAAUUAGGCAAAUUGAGAAUUCACUUGUUUAACAAAAACAUGUUUUUUUGAUAAUAAUUAAAAAUUUACUCUGCCCAAUGAAAAUUUAAAUGGCCGCAGUAUUUUGACUGUGCAAAGGUAGCAUAAUAAAUAGUUUUUUAAUUGAGGACUAGAAUGAAUGAGGGGAUGAAAUUUUAACUGUCUCUAAUUAAAUAUUAAAAAUUUAUUUUAAGUAAAAAUUCUUAAAUUAAUUUAAGGGACGAGAAGACCCUAUAGAAUUUAAAAAUUUAGAUUAUUUGGAAUUAUAAUAUUUUUAUUUAAAUAAUUAAAAAUUUUUUUAUUGGGAUGAUAUUAAAAUUUAAUAAACUUUUGAUUUAAAAAUCCAAAAAUUAGUGAUUUUAUAAAUGUUUAUAAAUAAAAUAAGAUAAAAUUACCUUAGGGAUAACAGCGUAAUAAAUUUUUAAAGUUCAAAUUAAAAAAUUUGAUUGCGACCUCGAUGUUGAAUUAAAAUAAAAUUUAAGUGAAGAAGCUUAAAAUUUGAGUCUGUUCGACUUUUAAAAUUUUACAUGAUUUG
Molecule: ribosomal RNA, 1186 nt
Filed under: Chrysis indigotea
Lineage: Eukaryota; Metazoa; Arthropoda; Insecta; Hymenoptera; Chrysididae
Description: partial 16S ribosomal RNA
Source: RNAcentral